CCAACGGCUCUUUUCAGAGCCACCAAUUUUCCAAGAAAGAAUUGA
Molecule: non-coding RNA, 45 nt
Organism: Strongylocentrotus purpuratus (purple sea urchin)
Lineage: Eukaryota; Metazoa; Echinodermata; Echinoidea; Camarodonta; Strongylocentrotidae
Source: Rfam